CUAAGUCCUAACACAUUUUUGGUGUGGUCGUUCAUUACAUUACCUCUCCAUAACAUCAUUCCGAUAUUUAAGAAUACAUUUGAGGCAUUAAUCCUUUGAUUCUCGAGUUCAUUCAACCACAAAUUUGGAAAAAACAUCAAAUUAACAUAAUCCAAAGCACGCACUUCCUAUACACCUAUAAGCAGGUACUUUGUCAAGGACUUUUAAAGGUUGCUGAAGAUUGAGGGACAUUAGAUCAGAAGCACAUGAAAAGUACAAAAACAAGGUGUUCUUGAUGACACACAAGAGAUUG
RNAcentral lists this long non-coding RNA (292 nucleotides) under Olea europaea (common olive). RNAcentral's name for it is "long non-coding RNA (OEUR_LNC011758)". The record is from RNAcentral. Lineage: Eukaryota; Viridiplantae; Streptophyta; Magnoliopsida; Lamiales; Oleaceae.